UGGGGAAUAUUGGACAAUGGGCGAAAGCCUGAUCCAGCCAUGCCGCGUGUGUGAAGAAGGUCUUCGGAUUGUAAAGCACUUUAAGUUGGGAGGAAGGGCAGUAAACUAAUACCUUGCUGUUUUGACGUUACCGACAGAAUAAGCACCGGCUAACUCUGUACCAG
This 164-nucleotide ribosomal RNA is filed under the name uncultured bacterium. Its description in RNAcentral is "partial 16S ribosomal RNA". It matches the Rfam family "Bacterial small subunit ribosomal RNA", at positions 355 to 511 of the family's 1533-position model. The record is from RNAcentral.